Molecule: ribosomal RNA, 301 nt
Filed under: uncultured bacterium
Lineage: Bacteria
Description: partial 16S ribosomal RNA
Rfam family: Bacterial small subunit ribosomal RNA
Source: RNAcentral
CAGUCGCCGCGGGAAUACGUAGGUCCCGAGCGUUGUCCGGAUUUAUUGGGCGUAAAGCGAGCGCAGGCGGUUAGAUAAGUCUGAAGUUAAAGGCAUUGGCUCAACCAAUGUAUGCUUUGGAAACUGUUAGACUUGAGUGCAGAAGGGGAGAGUGGAAUUCCAUGUGUAGCGGUGAAAUGCGUAGAUAUAUGGAGGAACACCGGUGGCGAAAGCGGCUCUCUGGUCUGUAACUGACGCUGAGGCUCGAAAGCGUGGGGAGCAAACAGGAUUAGAUACCCCCGUAGUCCCUGUCUCUUAUACC